GACAGAGGGUGCAAACGUUGUUCGGAAUUACUGGGCGUAAAGCGCGUGUAGGUGGCAAGGCAAGUCGGGUGUGAAAGCCCUGGGCUCAACCCAGGAAGUGCACUCGAUACUGCCUCGCUAGAGUCCCGGAGAGGUUGGUGGAACUCUCGGUGUAGAGGUGAAAUUCGUAGAUAUCGAGAAGAACACCGGUGGCGAAGGCGGCCAACUGGACGGUGACUGACACUGAGACGCGAAAGCGUGGGGAGCAAACAGGGAUUAAGAAACCCUGGUA
Molecule: ribosomal RNA, 271 nt
Filed under: uncultured bacterium
Lineage: Bacteria
Description: partial 16S ribosomal RNA
Rfam family: Bacterial small subunit ribosomal RNA
Source: RNAcentral